UACGGAGGAGGCAAGCGUUAUCCGGAAUUAUUGGGCGUAAAGCGUCCGCAGGUGGCACCUCAAGUCUGCUGUCAAAGCCCGGGGCUUAACCCCAGAAAGGCAGUGGAAACUGAAGCGCUAGAGUGCAGUAGGGGUAGAGGGAAUUCCCGGUGUAGCGGUGAAAUGCGUAGAGAUCGGGAAGAACAUCGGUGGCGAAAGCGCUCUGCUGGACUGCAACUGACACUCAGGGACGAAAGCUAGGGGAGCGAAUGGG
RNAcentral lists this ribosomal RNA (253 nucleotides) under uncultured bacterium. RNAcentral's name for it is "partial 16S ribosomal RNA". It matches the Rfam family "Bacterial small subunit ribosomal RNA", at positions 524 to 776 of the family's 1533-position model. The record is from RNAcentral.